CCUACGGGUGGCUGCAGUGGGGAAUAUUGGACAAUGGGGGCAACCCUGAUCCAGCCAUGCCGCGUGUGUGAAGAAGGCCCUCGGGUUGUAAAGCACUUUCAGUGAGGAAGAACGCCUGGUGGUUAAUACCCAUCAGGAAAGACAUCACUCACAGAAGAAGCAACGGCUAACUCCGUGCCAGCAGCCGCGGUAAUACGGAGGGUGCGAGCGUUAAUCGGAAUUACUGGGCGUAAAGCGCGCGUAGGUGGCUUGAUAAGCCGGUUGUGAAAGCCCCGGGCUCAACCUGGGAACGGCAUCCGGAACUGUCAAGCUAGAGUGCAGGAGAGGAAGGUAGAAUUCCCGGUGUAGCGGUGAAAUGCGUAGAGAUCGGGAGGAAUACCAGUGGCGAAGGCGGCCUUCUGGACUGACACUGACACUGAGGUGCGAAAGCGUGGGUAGCAAACAGGAUUAGAUACCCUAGUAGUC
Molecule: ribosomal RNA, 465 nt
Filed under: Vreelandella stevensii
Lineage: Bacteria; Pseudomonadati; Pseudomonadota; Gammaproteobacteria; Oceanospirillales; Halomonadaceae
Description: partial 16S ribosomal RNA
Rfam family: Bacterial small subunit ribosomal RNA
Source: RNAcentral